GGAGAAACGGUUGUUCUUGUGUGCAGUUUGAUAACAGACUACUCAUCUGUUCAGUGGGUUAGGAUGGAUUUACAAGUUAUUUAUUCAAAUGGAGAUUUGGUCAAUCCAAACCUUCUAAACCAAACAAGAUAUGAUGUUAUUGGAAACCAGGAAAAUGGUGAAUUUAAUUUUCAAAUCAAACAAGUUAUGAAAUACGAUGAAGGUAUAUAUCGUUGUGACACAAAAAUUGAGGGAAAGGCUGUUUCAGAAGUAGUCUCUUUAAACGUUUAUG
Molecule: long non-coding RNA, 271 nt
Filed under: Mytilus galloprovincialis (Mediterranean mussel)
Lineage: Eukaryota; Metazoa; Mollusca; Bivalvia; Mytilida; Mytilidae
Source: RNAcentral